Eutrema salsugineum is the source of this 623-nucleotide long non-coding RNA. RefSeq lists it as uncharacterized. NCBI's taxonomy places the organism in Eukaryota, Viridiplantae, Streptophyta, Magnoliopsida, Brassicales, Brassicaceae. The transcript has 4 exons. The record is from RefSeq and is a predicted model, not a curated record.
ACCAAAUCAUCACCGCCACGAUUCAUCCUUAUCUCCCACGCUAUCUCCUGCACGAUGCCCGCCUCCUCCGGGUCGAUUCUUCUCCUUUCGAAAUCAUCGUAUCUCCGUGACCAAAUCAUCAUUCUUCUCCUUUUGAUAAUCAAGCAUUGAAUUUGUCGAAAUUUUGAUUUAUUGAUUAUAUCGAAGUAUACGCAGCUUUCUAAAUGUGUUGGCGUUCUCGAAGAUUUUGAAGAAGUAUGAUAAGAUAACUUGGAGAAAAUCUUCCAAGCCUUACAUAAAAAUGGUUGAUAGUUCGUACCUCGGAAGCUCUGAUGAUCUUAUGAAACUGAUACAGCGUGUUUAAGCUACAUUCAUAAAGCAUUUCGCAAAUGGUAACAGAAGAAAAGGAAUGAACAUCUUGAGAUUACAUCUUGGAAUCUUUCAAAAGGAAAGCUACAAAGAUUACAUGAUCACUAUGUUCCCUCUUUAUAGCUUAUUUGGGUUCAAGCAAGGAACUGAACUCGGUUACAGACAAGUUCUUUUUAUGGGAUUCAGUAUUGGAGCGUUUGCGUUGCUUUGUGUUCUUGGAAACCUUGAUAUGCAAGUAGACCCCAAAACUAAAAAUUACCAAGCUUUAACCGAAC